Long non-coding RNA from Dioscorea cayenensis subsp. rotundata (Guinea yam), 440 nucleotides. RefSeq lists it as uncharacterized. The record is from RefSeq and is a predicted model, not a curated record. Lineage: Eukaryota; Viridiplantae; Streptophyta; Magnoliopsida; Dioscoreales; Dioscoreaceae. The transcript has 3 exons.
CUUGGAGCCAUCACAAAGUCUCACCCGUUUUCACCAAGCGCUAGGGUUUGCACAGCCGCCGCCGUUCAACGACUGCCGUUUUCUUUCUGAGAGUGCUGCUUGCAAUCAAACAAGAGAAUACGUUGGGGAGUUUCUGAAGAGAUGUGAGAAGUUCAAGCUUUCAAAAACUACGUUGCUAAAUAUCAUUAACUUGAGGUCAUCCAGCCAACCUCUGAUUUACUCGCUGCAGUAUUGAAGAAAAAACUUUCUUCUUUGGGAUCAUCAUGGAUCUUGGUUGACCAUCAGCUUCAAGCACAGCUGCAAGAGAAUCAAUUGAAGGGGUGGGUUGUCGGUUCAUAAUCUUUACUAUCAAUCUUUAUUGAGUAUUUAUGGCAAGGAUGUUCUAAAUUUUUGUGGAUGAAAUAGCAUAAUAACAUAUAUGUAGUUGCUUUGCCUUUGUA